GCAGCUGCUGCGGGACGCCGCAGAGAGCGCCUGGGGCCGACCGCCGAGUGUGAGACGCGUACCCGGAUUGGAUGCCCGAGCCCGCGGUGAAUGGGACUCCCUUACCCAUUGGUUCAUUUAACGGUACCACUCGGAGACAGGUAGAAUGGAGCUGGACAGAGAGGUUUGCCUUUCCCACCCUCUCACCCGCCCUGGCUGCCCUUUUCUUAUUACUCUGUUGUGGGUCCCUUGUUUUAGGCAGAAGACGAAGAAGUUCCUUUUGCCUUCACCUGCACAAGGAAAGACACUCUGAAACAACCAGUUCAUUUUUUUUUUCUGGUCAUGUUUCUGCCUUUUAAAAUUCCCUUUCUGUUUUAAAAUCAUCCUCUGGUCAUCUCACGCGCACAUUCCUUCUAUUUAGAAUAAGGUGUUGUCUGUUUCUACAGUCCCAAAUAAAAGUCUGUUGGGGUCCUCAAACUAAGUUUGUUCUAAUUUUGCCACAGCCGUGGAUGUGAAAUUAUGCUCGUGCCUUUAAAACUAGUAUUAAUAGCUGAAUUAUCCAACUUCAAACUUAAUUAGCAGAAUUGCCCGAGAUAUAUUUCUUUAAUAUUUGUAUUGCCCAGACAUAGUUGACAAAGAGGUUAGUAUUUUUUCUUUGUAUCUCUAAUGCCCAAAGGUGAACCUGACAUGCAUGGACUUACUCAAUGAUUUUUGGGUUUAACGAGGUAUGUUAAGGUACUCCAUGUUUAAAUGCUUCCUCUGUUAAGAUGCAAGUGCUCAGAAAAUGUUUUCAUUACAGUAUCUACACACAAGAUACUUAAGGGGAUACAAUUAAUCGAGUUAAGGAUAUCAAAAUCAUAUACUAUACCCUGAAAUCUAAAAGACUUAGCUGGAAACCCAGUAGCUGGAUUUAUUGGGUUCUGGGCAUUAAACGUCAAAGGCUGAAUUUGGUACCCUGCUCUGAGUUGAGAGUACAGCCAUAAUUCAGAGCCUGGGUGCAAUCAAGGAGACAAUUUUAAUAUGAGUGUAGUCAGUUCAUUAUUGAUUCCAGUUUCAAGCCUCCAGCUAUCCUGUACAUUCACAAACUGGAGCGUCUUGGACCCACAGGUUGGCUUGGCCAGCACUGAGUAAUGUUGGGCACUGAGUAAGGUUGUGCCUCAACCUGUUUGAGCUUUAUCUCCUCAUCUGCAGAGCAAGUCCUGGACCAACCUCUCAGGGUUCUUGUCCAAUACGUUUUCUAAAGCAAAUAAAGCACUCAGCCAGUCACCGGUCAUCGUGUUAGCUGCCAUUGUCACUGCGAUACCGCCAAUUGUUUUGAACAAUAGGGUAAGAUGGAGUUCUAGGGGAGUUUAUGCAAUGUACAGUUUAACAGGACUUAAAUUUCUGCUUUUGGGAACCGAGAUUCUGCAUAUCCUGAUGC
This 1399-nucleotide long non-coding RNA is filed under the name Mus musculus (house mouse). RNAcentral describes it as "long non-coding RNA chr17:44105927-44107326". The record is from RNAcentral. Lineage: Eukaryota; Metazoa; Chordata; Mammalia; Rodentia; Muridae.